UAUAUUUUAGUAUAUGAUGUACAGAAAUUUUUGGUAUUUCAGGAGAUAGUUUGAUUCUAUUAGAUAUA
RNAcentral lists this transfer RNA (68 nucleotides) under Trictenotoma davidi. Its description in RNAcentral is "tRNA-Gln". Lineage: Eukaryota; Metazoa; Arthropoda; Insecta; Coleoptera; Trictenotomidae. The record is from RNAcentral.